Molecule: long non-coding RNA, 2694 nt
Filed under: Brassica napus (rape)
Lineage: Eukaryota; Viridiplantae; Streptophyta; Magnoliopsida; Brassicales; Brassicaceae
Description: long non-coding RNA (BNAP_LNC000926)
Source: RNAcentral
UCCUUCACUAACAUAUGAUGAUGUUCAAAGAGGUUUGGAGCCUUUGUCGUCUCCGUUUAUCAAGAAAAUAAUAAUUUUAUAGUGGUUAUUCCAUCGAUUUAAUGAGUAUUAUGAAGUUUUACUAAAUUAAUUGAUAAAAACAAUUGAACGAUGCUCAUUUACCAUGAAAAAGAGUUUAGCAUACAUUAAUAGAAAUGUAGAAUAUUGUAUAAAUUUUAAAACAAUAUUAAAGAUUAUAGGAUUCAGUAUAUAAAGUAUUUACCAAAAACUCAAUAUAUUUGUAGGGGUUAGCCCAUAGAUUUUGAGAAAAAUUCAAAAAAUAUGACAAUAUUGUUUUAAUGCCUAGUUGCAUCCUGCACUAAAAUAUGAUGAUGUUCAAAGAGGUUUGGAGCCAUUGUCCUCUCCGUUUAUCAAGAAAAUCAUAAUUUUAUAGUGGUUAUUCCAUCGAUUUAAGGAGUAUUAUGAAGUUUUACUAAAUUAAUUGAUAAAAACAAUUGAACGAUGCUCAUUUACCAUGAAAAAGAGUUUAGCAUACAUUAAUACAAAUGUAGAAUAUUGUAUAAAUUUUAAAACAACAAUAAAGAUUAUAGGCUUCAGUAUAUAAAGUAUUUACCAAAAACUCAAUAUAUUUGUAUGGGGGUUAGCCCAUAGAUUUUGAGAAAAUUUCAAAAAAUAUGAAAAUAUUGUUUUAAUGCCUAGUUGCAUCCUGCACUAACAUAUGAUGAUGUUCAAAGAGGUUUGGAGCCAUUGUCGUCUCCGUUUAUCAAGAAAUUAAUAAUUUUAUAGUUGUUACUCCAUCGAUUUAGGAAGAGUAUUAUGAAGUUUUACUAAAUUAAUUGAUAAAAAUAAUUAAACGAUGCUCAUUUACCAUGAAAAGGAGUUUAGCAUACAUUAAUACAAAUGUACAAUAUGGUUGAAAUUUUAAAACAACACUAAAGAUUAUAGGCUUCAGUAUAUAAAGUAUUUACCAAAAACUCAAUAUAUUUGUAGGGGUUAGCCCAUAGAUUUUGAGAAAAUUUCAAAAAAUAUGACAAUAUUGUUUUAAUGCCUAGUUGCAUCAUGCACUAACAUAUAAUGAUGUUCAAAUAGGUUUGAAGCCAUUGUCGUCUCCAUUUAUCAAGAAAAUCAUAAUUUUAUAGUGGUUAUUCCAUCGAUUUAGGGAGUAUCAUGAAGUUUUACUAAAUUAAUUGAUAAAAACAAUUAAACGAUGCUCAUUUACCAUGAAAAAAAGUUUAUCAUACAUUAAUACAAAUGUAGAAUAUGGUAGAAAUUUUAAAACAACACUAAAGUUUAUAGGCUUUAGUAUAUAAAAUAUUUACCAAAAACUCAAUAUAUUUGUAGGGGUAAGCCCAUAGAUUUUGAGAAAAUUUCAAAAAAUAUGACAAUAUUGUUUUAAUGCCUAGUUUCAUCAUGCAGUAACAUAUGAUGAUGUUCAAAGAGGUUUGGAGCCUUUGUCAUCUCCGUUUAUCAAGAAAAUCAUAAUUUUAUAGUGGUUAUUCCAUCGAUUUAGGGAGUAUUAUGAAGUUUUAUUAAAUUAUUUGAUAAAAACAAUUGAACGAUGCUCAUUUACCAUGAAAAAGAGUUUAGCAUACAUUAAUACAAAUGUAGAAUAUUGUAUAAAUUUUAAAACAACACUAAAGAUUAUAGGCUUCAGUAUAUAAAGUAUUUACCAAAAUCAAUAUAUUUGUAUGGGGUUAGCCCAUAGAUUUUGAAAAAAUUUCAAAAAAUAUGAAAAUAUUGUUUUAAUGCCUAGUUGCAUCUUGCACUAACAUAUGAUGAUGUUCAAAGAGGUUUGGAGCCAUUGUCGUCUCCGUUUAUCAAGAAAAUAAUAAUUUUAUAGUGGUUGCUCCAUCGAUUUAGGAAGUAUUAUGAAGUUUUACUAAAUUAAUUGAUAAAAACAAUUGAACGAUGCUCAUUUACCUUGAAAAAGAGUUUAGCAUACAUUAAUACAAAUGUAGAAUAUCGUAUAAAUUUUAAAACAAUACUAAAGAUUAUAGGAUUCAGUAUAUAAAGAAUUUACCAAAAACUCAAUAUAUUUGUAGGGGGUUAGCCCAUAGAUUUUGAGAAAAUUUCAAAAAAUAUGACAAUAUUGUUUUAAUGCCUAGUUGCAUCCUUCACUAACAUAUGAUGAUGUUCAAAGAGGUUUGGAGCCUUUGUCGUCUCCGUUUAUCAGGAAAACAAUAAUUUUAUAGUGGUUAUUCCAUCGAUUUAGGGAGUAUUAUGAAGUUUUACUAAAUUAAUUGAUAAAAACAAUUGAACGAUGCUCAUUUACCAUGAAAAAAGAGUUUAGCAUACAUUAAUACAAAUGUAGAAUAUGGUAGAAAUUUUAAAACAACACUAAAGAUUAUAGGCUUCAGGAAUAUUGUAUAAAUUUUAAAACAACACUAAAGAUUAUAGGCUUCAGUAUAUAAAGUAUUUACCAAAAACUCAAUAUAUUUGUAUGGGGUUAGCCCAUAGAUUUUGAGAAAAUUUCAAAAAAUAUGAAAAUAUUGUUUUAAUGCCUAGUUGCAUCCUGCACUAACAUAUGAUGAUGUUCAAAGAGGUUUGGAGCCAUUGUCGUCUCCAUUUAUCAAGAAAUUAAUAAUUUUAUAGUGGUUACUCCAUCGAUUUAGGAAGUAUUAUGAAGUUUUUAGUAAAUUAAUUGAUAAAAACAAUUAAACGAUGCUCAUUUACCAUGAAAAGGAGUUUAGCAUA